RNAcentral lists this non-coding RNA (99 nucleotides) under Streptosporangium canum. Lineage: Bacteria; Bacillati; Actinomycetota; Actinomycetes; Streptosporangiales; Streptosporangiaceae. The record is from RNAcentral.
GAGAGCCCGGUGCUUCGAGAGGAGCACGCCGGGUUCGGCGGGCGGGCCGGGGAAACGGAGUGAUCGCAAGGUCAGCACCGCGCCCCGGUCCGACCCAAC